GACUCACGCGGGAAUCUUACCGGGUCCGGACACACUGAGGAUUGACAGGUUAUGGGGCGGGUUGAAUUUYAAUCUCUUCGGGGAUUAAUUUUCUCCCACCUCAAAAAUAUGCUAGUCCUUUCAUGAUUAUGUGAUAGGUGGKGCAUGGSCGUUCUUAGUUCGUGGAGUGAUCUGUCUGCUUAAUUGCGUUUCACUAAAGGCGUCAUUAAUUUUUUGUGCCUGUGUUUGACCCCGCACUUCGGUGCGCGCGCGUCUUUCACACACAAUUACUUUGACGUCUGAAAGCAACGAACGUGACCGUAACCUCUUGUUGCCUUCUCUUCUCUUCGGAGAAUGCUGCUUUAUACCUUCACGGGUG
RNAcentral lists this ribosomal RNA (358 nucleotides) under Elphidium sp. S5. Its description in RNAcentral is "SSU rRNA". It matches the Rfam family "Eukaryotic small subunit ribosomal RNA", at positions 1208 to 1414 of the family's 1831-position model. The record is from RNAcentral. Lineage: Eukaryota; Foraminifera; Rotaliida; Elphidiidae.